RNAcentral lists this microRNA precursor (65 nucleotides) under Chrysemys picta bellii (western painted turtle). RNAcentral describes it as "Cpi-Mir-146-P2_pre stem-loop". Lineage: Eukaryota; Metazoa; Chordata; Testudines; Emydidae. The record is from RNAcentral.
UGAGAACUGAAUUCCAUGGACUGGUUUCAGUUCUGUAUCUUCAGUCCAUGGUAGUCAGUUCUCUA